UUAUUUUCAAAAGAUUGGAUGAUGAUCAUCUUGUUGAUAAGGCAAGAUUAAAUGAUUUUCAUUUUUAAAAGUUAAAUGUUUGAAAAUCGAAGAUGAACUCGCUUAUUGGAUAGAUUCAUUCCGAUCCUUAGCGUGUGGGUCAUCUACCAAAGAAGAAGUUGUAACCCAUUCAGACAUUUGAAGACUACAGAGCAAAUAUUGUGAUAUGUUUCUUUGUUAUUUGUGCUUGUUAUAACAGAGUAGACUUCAAGUCUUUAUCGUUCUUUGUCUCUAUUGUACAAGCAAAGUUUCUUCACAUAUUUGAUCUCUUCGGGAGAGGAGACCAUUUGUUGUAGUGGAGGGAUUCUACACAGAGGCAGCAAGCAGUUCGGUGUGGUGAAGUGAUUUCACAGAAACACAGCAAACAAAAAGACUAAUGGUGCUGGCUGAAUAUUCAUUAGGAUGGUUACAAUAAGAUGGCAGCAAGACAGUAAAGAGGGAGUUUGAACAUUGGAUAAGUAUCCAAUAGGUAGUAUUCAUAGAUCUCUUUAUGAAUUAUUCAAAUUAUAGGCGUGACCCUGCGAAAAUAGGAUUUUGAACUCAAAACCACGUAAAAUCCUUUUGUUUUCUUUAUUUUCCGCACUUUUAAUAUCCUUGUUAUAACUACUGAAUUAAUAUUUAAUUAAGGUUGAUAAAACUAUGAAAUCUGAUCUUUCAAAUAUCUUGAAAUUAAAUUAUUUUGGAUUAAAAAUUAAAUUUAGGUAGACAAAUUCAUAGUCAUAAAACUUAAGUAGAACUAUACAAACAUUACACAAAUUUAUUAUUUUCAGUGAUCACAAGAUAUUGACAUGUUUUAGAGACUUUUCUAAUUUGCCAAUCUAAUCUUUAAUGUUACAUAUUACAUCGCAUUCAAACGUUGGCAAACCAAUGAUAAAAACUUUUGGUAUCUGGCUAGUACUGAUUGGUUGAUGACAUAAUUAUUACAGCAUGUGAUCUUAAGGAAGGUGGUUCAGCAAUCUUUUUCCUGUAAUUAAAACCUUUAUUAUGAUAUUUGAGAGAGAAGAUGAUCAAAUUAGUAUAUGCUUUUAUUCCAUUAGAGACUCAAUCACAUUCAUUAUAAAGUGAUGCUAUGUUUACUUAGUUAAAAAGUAAUGCAUAGUUUAUCUCCCAAUUAAUGUGUCGCUAAUGUAAAUUUAUUAUUUGAAUUAAAAAUGACAGGACUUAGUAAUUAUGUAUCGGUUGAAUUAAUUAGAUAAUGACAUAUCAUUUAUCACAUUAGUUAGAAUAUAAAUUAAGUAUCGUAACUAAGUAAAUAUAACAUUAUUAUAAUGAAUCUUGGGUGUUCUCUUUAUAUAAUUAUAGCACACUUAGGCCUUGCUCAACUUCACAUGCAUGCACUAAAGUCAAAGGGUUAGUAUUCUUGCCAUUAAGUUGGAACAGGACUGAAAUUAAGAUGAUUUUAUGUUACUUUUCAAAUGAAUUCAAGAUCAUUUCACUUGGAGCUAAAUGUUAUUUUUUUUUUUUAAAAAAAAAGGCAGUUGUUCCACUAGUUUAAAGGUGUGGGACAUUCUGUUGUUGAACUUUACACUAAAAAGCCUGCUUGGCACAUAUUUGUUAUAAUUAACAGAGUGGACUUUCAAGUCUUUAUUGUUCCAUGUCUAUUUUGCAGGAAAAGCAUCUUAACAUAUUUGAUCUCUUUGUGAGAGGCGUUCAUUUGUGGUAGUGGGAGGAUUGUACAUGGAGGCAGCAAGCAGUUUGGCGUGGUGAAUAGAUUUCACAAAAGCACAGCAACCAAGAAAACAUAUGCUGCUGGCUGAAUAUUCAUUAGGAUGGUUACAGAAAGGUGGCGGCAAGAUAGUAAGAAAGAGUCCGAACAUGGCAUAAAGUAUCCAAUAGAUUGUAUCCACAGAUCUCCGAAUGAAUUAUUCAAAUUACAGGCGUGGUCCUGUGGGUGUUGGAAUUUAAGGUUCAAACCACAUAAAAGCCUUUUGUUUUAAUAUCGUUGUUACAACUAUUUAAUUAAAAUUAAUAAAACUAUCAAAUCCGU
This 2026-nucleotide long non-coding RNA is filed under the name Citrus sinensis (sweet orange). Its description in RNAcentral is "long non-coding RNA (CSIN_LNC003239)". The record is from RNAcentral. Lineage: Eukaryota; Viridiplantae; Streptophyta; Magnoliopsida; Sapindales; Rutaceae.